Non-coding RNA from Haemonchus placei, 75 nucleotides. The record is from Rfam. NCBI's taxonomy places the organism in Eukaryota, Metazoa, Nematoda, Chromadorea, Rhabditida, Trichostrongylidae.
GGCCCAAAUUUGAAGUAGAGUAGAUUAGUAUUAUCAGCUGACCCUACUAAACCACUCUACUUCAAAUUUGGGCCC